RNAcentral lists this ribosomal RNA (484 nucleotides) under uncultured bacterium. Its description in RNAcentral is "bacterial SSU rRNA". It matches the Rfam family "Bacterial small subunit ribosomal RNA", at positions 359 to 833 of the family's 1533-position model. The record is from RNAcentral.
GAGAUUUUCGCAAUGCCCGAAAGGGUGACGAAGCGACGCCGCGUGCGGGAAGAAGGCCUUCGGGUUGUAAACCGCUGUCGGGAGUUAAGAAAUGUAAGAAUGUUAAUAGCAUCUUUGCUUGACUAAGGCUCCGGAGGAAGCCACGGCUAACUCUGUGCCAGCAGCCGCGGUAAUACAGAGGCGGCAAGCGUUGUUCGGAAUUAUUGGGCGUAAAGAGCACGUAGGCGGCUAUGUAAGUCGGUUGUGAAAGCCUUCCGCUCAACGGGAGAACAGCAUCCGAUACUGCAUGGCUUGAGUGCGGGAGGGGAGAGUGGAACUUCUGGUGGAGCGGUGAAAUGCGUAGAUAUCAGAAGGAACGCCGGCGGCGAAAGCGGCUCUCUGGCCCAUAACUGACGCUGAGUGUGCGAAAGCUAGGGGAGCAAACGGGAUUAGAUACCCCGGUAGUCCUAGCCGUAAACGAUGGGCACUAAGUAGAGGGGUUUUA